RNAcentral lists this long non-coding RNA (1690 nucleotides) under Chrysemys picta bellii (western painted turtle). RNAcentral's name for it is "lncRNA (ENSCPBG00000014941.1)". Lineage: Eukaryota; Metazoa; Chordata; Testudines; Emydidae. The record is from RNAcentral.
GGAAUUCACAGGUCGCUGCGACCGGGCGGCGGGGGCGUCUCUCCCGAGGGAGCUGUUCCUCCCAGAGGGCAGGAGGGAUACAAGCGGGGUGCCAGGGGUGGCGUGUGGGAGGGGCUGGUGCCAGGCCGGUGCAGAACUGCAGAGAGCUCGCCGCGGGGGGGGGGGGUGGUAUGGCUGGUCUGGGGAGAACCAGGCACUCCCGUCCCUCCCAGUGGCUUUCUCUAUUCAGAAAGCAACUUACUUGGCCUCGGGCACGUCACUUCACUACUUAGCUUCGGCUUCCCCCUCUGUAAAAGGGGUGGUAAUAAGGUAACCCUAAAUGACCUACGUCACAGGGGUUGUUUGGAUUAAUUAGUUGGUACGUGUAAACGCCCUCUGAAGCGGUGUUCUUCCCAGCCGUGUGGGCAGCACUCCAGGUUCAUGGAAACCAGCAGAGGCAGAGCAUGCCGGCUGCACCUGACUGCAGCGUGUCUAACUGAUUCUCCACCUUCAGUGGGGUAAAACGGGGGAGGCAGGCAUAAGAUGACAUGCCAAAAAUGCUGCUUCUGAAUGCUUUUGACUGAAAAUCCCUGCAAGCAGCAGGGAGAUGACUGUCACAGUGCCCCUGCUGCCACCACAGGCAAAUGCUUUGCCACCCACUGAAAGAGGCUGGCUACUGCAGCUGAUCCAUUACAUAAUAAUGGCAGCUUUCCAGUAGGCAUAGACACAGAACAUGCCACAUCUGUCAUCAGAAUAAGCCUAGUUAAAGCGGCAACACUUCUAUCUAUGGACGAGGCCUCAAACAAGGAACCAGGAAUGCCCUGUACAGCCUCUGAAUUCCCCAAGAGAAGGAACAGAAUAACGGGGAACUAGGACCAGCUAGAAUUCAAAGUGAUUAGGGAAAAAUGGAAGAAUUCAUGCUGCAGGACAGGUCUGAACAAAGAAGAGCAGAACAUGCAGGGAGACGCUCAUUUACUGCUUGCUGCUGCCGUUUCUGGAAAGUACAUGUUCCAGUUGCAGUUUCCUAUGGAACGUCUUUACCAAUGAAGAGACCAUCAGGAUCUAACUGCUGUAUCUGGAAACCCUUGGGGGAGAGAGGCACAUUUCUAGCUUGUCAUUCUGCCUGGAUGAGAUUGGAGGCUCAUUACCGAAUUAGAAUAUUAUAAACCUAACAACACACAGCUAAAUUUCAGGUUUCCAAAGUCAUUCUUCAUAACUCCCCCUCUCCCACCCCCUCCCCCACCCAAUAGACUGCAGCCCCUUUGUCAGAUAAACUUUCUAAAGAACAGCACUGAAGAGGAAGGCAGGAGGGAAAGAGCAGCAGAGUGGAGUGAUUAGAAAAUGGAACAGGUUCUCAUUGGGGUGCAGAGCAUGUACGAAUUACUCGAGACAUUAUGGAUGACAGGCAUCAUUUCAUCCUGGAUCCCACCGUGACUGUAAACUUGCUCAUCUGUGCAUUUGCUACAGGCCUAGAAUAUUUUACAGUUCAAGUUAUCCUAAGCACCGUUAUUUCCUCCUUUUUCUCAAGAAGGCUCUGGAAUAGACACCUGAUCAAGAAGACCACUGUACCCAUUUUUCCUUCAUGAUGGAACUGCCUAUUAUCGCUGGCUUGAGGAAUUGGUGGUGGACUACAGCGCUGUACGUCACUAGUUCAACUGUGACGCCAUUCAGCAUGAAUAAAAAUUGGUGAAUUAUGAGAAUGGAAUGGAUC